Molecule: non-coding RNA, 71 nt
Organism: Podarcis lilfordi (Lilford's wall lizard)
Lineage: Eukaryota; Metazoa; Chordata; Lepidosauria; Squamata; Lacertidae
Source: the annotation of a GenBank genome assembly
GGGCCAUAGCUCAAUGGCUAGGGCAUCUACCCUGCAUCCAGAUGUCCCAGGUUUGAUUCCUGGCAUUUCCA